Molecule: long non-coding RNA, 299 nt
Filed under: Gallus gallus (chicken)
Lineage: Eukaryota; Metazoa; Chordata; Aves; Galliformes; Phasianidae
Source: RNAcentral
GUUAACCUCUCCUCCCUCUUGCCACUGACAAUUGAGAAUGCUUAGGAUCCCCUCACACAGCCUGGGAAAGGACAACUGAUCUGCCUUCCACUGCCCUUAAUGAUGUGGAUAAGGGUACCUGCAGUAGACCCAGCAUGAUUUUGCAGAUCCUGGGUGCUCUCGUGGAUGCUUCAUUUCAUCUGUCUGAAACUUCCACCUGCUCUGUCUCACUUGGAGGUUGGCAUUCAGAAGAAACCCAUAAGACAAAGGAAAAAAGCUCAGCUGGACCCCCCGUACUGAGUCGUCUGCGUGAUAUUUGG